This 1116-nucleotide long non-coding RNA is filed under the name Heterocephalus glaber (naked mole-rat). Its description in RNAcentral is "lncRNA (ENSHGLG00100040618.1)". Lineage: Eukaryota; Metazoa; Chordata; Mammalia; Rodentia; Bathyergidae. The record is from RNAcentral.
GUCUCCCUUCAUCAAAUUUAUGCUUGAUGAGCAGAGAUCUCUCUGUUGGGUUCACCUGAAGAAGAGUUCCUGACACUCAGGAUUUAACUAUUAUUUGUUGAAUAAAAGCAUUAGAGUGGAGUAGCUUGCCAGGGAUUUAGCUCAGUGGUUUUACCGCCUUCAGCGCAAGCGCAAGGACCCAAGUUCGAUCCCCCGUGCAAAAAAAAAAAAAGAAAGAAAGAAAGAAUAGAGUAGCUUUAACUAGUGGGAAGUGUAAGAAUACGGUAACUAGAAUAAGGUAAGAUGGUCUAGUGAUAACAAUGUCCCAGUUAGAUGGAUGACCAUGAAUGUGCAGUGCCUGGAUGUGGGAUUUUUCUCUUGCAUUGCUUUGUUGCCCAAAGGCAAACCUGGAAAAGAUGGAGAAUUGGAUUCAUCCCAGAUUGAGCUUUGCCACAAGGAUGACAUGAAUGCAGAGGCAGAUGUGCCUAAGCUAAAUGUGUGUGGGGUGACCAGGAAAGGACCAUAUCUGACCUAACACUACAAUUUAUGCUGUGCAUUUAAGAGAAGAUUGCAAAUAUGUUCACAAUACCAAUUUUUAUGAUUUUUAUGGGACAGUGCUGAACCAGUGGAGACCGAUGCUGAAUACAGCAGUAGGAGCUUAUAUGGUGUUUUUCUUCCCAGAAUUCAAAUUGCAUUGCCUCUAAUUAUUUGAGCUGAUGGGAGAGAGACAAUAUAUAGGAUAACUUAAAGAUACUGAAAAAAGUUUUAGAAAUGUGAUAGGUAAGAAUUGAAAACAGAAAUGUAAGAAUGCAAUCAAAUGAAUUUCUUGUCUUACCAUCAUUUGUAAAAUUAAGCUGUUGUGUUUUCAGUGUACUUUUGGGUAGUUUACUGUUGAAUCUUUGUAUCAACUGUAAAAUCUCCCAAGCAUAUGAAACAACUAAAAGACAAGGAAUCUUCACUAAACACAAAGUAAAUGUAAACAUUGGAAACAGUUAUUCUCAUUUUUUAAUUUUAUUUUGAUACUGGGGAUUGAACCCAGGGCCUUUUUGGGCAAGUGGUCAUCCCCAGACAUUUUUUUUUUCUUUUGAGACAGGAUCUUGCUAAAUUCCCAAGGCUGGUUCUGGAUUCCAGUCCUCC